AGCAGCCGCGGUAAUUCCAGCUCCAAUAGCGUAUAUUAAAGUUGUUGCAGUUAAAAAGCUCGUAGUUGAAUUUCGGGAUUCAUCCGUUGGUCGGGCUUCACGGUCCGUACUGGUGUGAUGGGUUCCUACCUUCUGAAUAACCGGCAUGCCAUUAAUUUGGUGCGCCGGGGAAGCAGAACUAUUACCUUGAAAAAAUUAGAGUGCUUAAAGCAGGCAAGUGCCUGAAUAGGUCAGCAUGGAAUAAUAAAAUAGGACGGCAUGGUUCUAUUUUGUGGUUUCUAGGAUCACCGUAAUGAUUAAUAGGGAUAGUUGGGGGCA
Molecule: ribosomal RNA, 318 nt
Filed under: uncultured Glomeromycotina
Lineage: Eukaryota; Fungi; Glomeromycota
Description: SSU rRNA
Rfam family: Eukaryotic small subunit ribosomal RNA
Source: RNAcentral